AGAGGGUGCAAACGUUGCUCGGAAUUACUGGGCGUAAAGCGCGUGUAGGCGGGCUUGCAAGUCAGAUGUGAAAGCCCUGGGCUCAACCCAGGAACUGCAUUUGAAACUGCAAGUCUUGAGUGUCGGAGAGGAAAGCGGAAUUCCUGGUGUAGAGGUGAAAUUCGUAGAUAUCAGGAGGAACACCGGUGGCGAAGGCGGCUUUCUGGACGAUAACUGACGCUGAGACGCGAAAGCGUGGGGAGCAAACAGGAUUAGAUACCCUGGUAGUCCACGCCGUAAACGAUGAACACUAGGUGUCGUGGGUAUUGACCCCCGCGGUGCCGUAGCUAACGCAUUAAGUGUUCCGCCUGGGAAGUACGGUCGCAAGACUA
RNAcentral lists this ribosomal RNA (371 nucleotides) under uncultured bacterium. RNAcentral's name for it is "bacterial SSU rRNA". It matches the Rfam family "Bacterial small subunit ribosomal RNA", at positions 527 to 896 of the family's 1533-position model. The record is from RNAcentral.